UACGUAGGGUGCAAGCGUUGUCCGGAAUUAUUGGGCGUAAAGAGCUCGUAGGCGGUCUGUCGCGUCUGCUGUGAAAAUCCAGGGCUCAACCCUGGACCUGCAGUGGGUACGGGCAGACUAGAGUGCGGUAGGGGAGAUCGGAAUUCCUGGUGUAGCGGUGAAAUGCGCAGAUAUCAGGAGGAACACCGGUGGCGAAGGCGGAUCUCUGGGCCGUAACUGACGCUGAGGAGCGAAAGCAUGGGUAGCAAACAGG
This 253-nucleotide ribosomal RNA is filed under the name uncultured bacterium. RNAcentral describes it as "partial 16S ribosomal RNA". It matches the Rfam family "Bacterial small subunit ribosomal RNA", at positions 524 to 776 of the family's 1533-position model. The record is from RNAcentral.